RNAcentral lists this ribosomal RNA (242 nucleotides) under uncultured bacterium. RNAcentral's name for it is "partial 16S ribosomal RNA". It matches the Rfam family "Bacterial small subunit ribosomal RNA", at positions 118 to 353 of the family's 1533-position model. The record is from RNAcentral.
UAGGUAACCUGCCUUGUAGCGGGGGAUAACUAUUGGAAACGAUAGCUAAUACCGCAUAACAAUGGAUGACACAUGUCAUUUAUUUGAAAGGGGCAAUUGCUCCACUACAAGAUGGACCUGCGUUGUAUUAGCUAGUAAGUGAGGUAAUGGCUCACCUAGGCGACGAUACAUAGCCGACCUGAGAGGGUGAUCGGCCACACUGGGACUGAGACACGGCCCAGACUCCUACGGGAGGCAGCAUG